GUUCUACUCCAUUACAGGUUGUUAUCCUCACUGCAAAUUACCACGAACCUGCAUCCCAAUCGACAAAAAUCAGGUGCUUACAAAAGCAGGUUGGUGCUAUAUUCAUGGCUUUGCAUACUCUGGAGAAACUUCAGAUGAGGACGACCCCAAUGACGCCUACUAUUAUGCAGACUCAGAUCGUGAACCAAAAAAAUUGGUAAUCUAAGAUACCAGCCCCUCCAAAAGCACGAUAAGACAUCGAGACCUUCCCAUCUGAAGCAAGUGGAAAAAGCAAAACCAUUUCCAAAAACCCAACUUAUCUCCUAUUUCUAUGUCUCUAAUUAUGUAUGUUUAUAAAACUAUGAGCUUGUAUAUAACUGAAUAUCUACAUCUGAACUCGCGAGCCUAUGAAAAUAUUAUGCAUAUUAUUAAAUUAUACUACC
Molecule: long non-coding RNA, 422 nt
Organism: Panicum virgatum (switchgrass)
Lineage: Eukaryota; Viridiplantae; Streptophyta; Magnoliopsida; Poales; Poaceae
Exons: 4
Source: RefSeq, a predicted model, not a curated record